RNAcentral lists this unclassified non-coding RNA (430 nucleotides) under soil metagenome. RNAcentral's name for it is "partial contains 5.8S ribosomal RNA, internal transcribed spacer 2, and large subunit ribosomal RNA". The stretch from base 1 to 120 matches the Rfam family "5.8S ribosomal RNA", at positions 35 to 154 of the family's 154-position model. The record is from RNAcentral.
GAUGAAGAACGUAGCGAAAUGCGAUACGUAAUGUGAAUUGCAGAAUUCAGUGAAUCAUCGAAUCUUUGAACGCAUAUUGCGCUCUCUGGUAUUCCGGAGAGCAUGCUUGUUUGAGUAUCAGUAAACACCUCAACUCCCUUUUCUUUUUUGAAAUUGGAGCUGGACUUGAGUGAUCCCAACGCUUUCUUCCAAGAAAGUGGCGGGUUGCUUGAAAUGCAGGUGCAGCUGAACUUUUCUCUGAGCUAUAAGCAUAUCUAUUUAGUCUGCCUAAAAAACAGAUUAUUACCUUUGCUGCAGCUAACAUAAAGGAGACUAGUUCUUGUGCUGACUGAUGCAGGAUUCACAGAGACAGCUUCGGCUGACUUUGUAAACUCGAUCUCAAAGCAAGUAAGACUACCCGCUGAACUUAAGCAUAUCAAUAAGCGGAGGA